This 254-nucleotide ribosomal RNA is filed under the name uncultured bacterium. RNAcentral describes it as "partial 16S ribosomal RNA". It matches the Rfam family "Bacterial small subunit ribosomal RNA", at positions 524 to 776 of the family's 1533-position model. The record is from RNAcentral.
CACGUAGGGGACGAGCGUUGUCCGGAUUCAUUGGGCGUAAAGCGCGCGUAGGCGGUCUGUCGCGUCGGUCGUGAAAACCUGCAGCUUAACUGUGGGCGUGCGGUCGAUACGGGCAUGACUGGAGUUCGGCAGGGGAGACUGGAAUUCCUGGUGUAGCGGUGAAAUGCGCAGAUAUCAGGAGGAACACCGGUGGCGAAGGCGGGUCUCUGGGCCGAUACUGACGCUGAGGAGCGAAAGCGUGGGGAGCGAACAGG